RNAcentral lists this ribosomal RNA (240 nucleotides) under uncultured bacterium. Its description in RNAcentral is "partial 16S ribosomal RNA". It matches the Rfam family "Bacterial small subunit ribosomal RNA", at positions 524 to 762 of the family's 1533-position model. The record is from RNAcentral.
UACGUAGGGGGCAAGCGUUGUCCGGAUUUAUUGGGCGUAAAGAGCGUGUAGGCGGCCUGACAGGUCUGCUGUGAAAACUCGAGGCUCAACCUCGAGAUGUCGGCGGAAACCGUCUGGCUAGAGUCCGGAAGAGGAGAGUGGAAUUCCUGGUGUAGCGGUGAAAAUGCGCAGAUAUCAGGAAGAACACCUAUGGCGAAGGCAGCUCUCUGGGACGGUACUGACGCUGAGACGCGAAAAGCU